UGAUUUUUAAUCAUUUGAUAUUAUCUAUUCACAAAAUCUAUAUAUCAUCUAUUAGUUUCCAAAAUUACGUUACCUACAUCCACGCAAGAAUCAGAAAAUAAACAAUAUCAAGCAAUAUAAUUGAUCAAUUCUUACCAAUAAAUUCAGUAAUUCCUAAACUCAAUCACAUUCAGUUUUUCCCCAAUUUCAACGAACCCAUCAUCACAAAAGAUAUCAUUAACUAGCAAAAGUCGGAAUAUUCUUGAAAUCAAAACUUGCAAAUCACGUUUACCUAAUCUUUAUUGUAAAAUAUCCCGGUUUUAUGAUGAUUAAACCAAACAAGGAAUAUAUAGUUAAUAAUUCAAAACAGUAUAUGCCAAUAUCAAUUAUUUCGAAUCACAACUAACAAAAUAUUUACUUAAUAUCUACAAUUUAACCUACCUUUUCAUAAGCAACUAUAAAUACUUCUACCAAGUUGCAUCAAACGAAAAACAUCAAGCCCUCCUAAACCUAAACAACCUAAACAACCUAAACAUGUCUCUAGCGAUCAAUUCUGUUCCACUCACAAAAGUCAGACCUUAUAAAAAAUAAAUGGGAGUCCAAGUUAAAUGCUUACAUUCCUGGAAGCAAAACACAUCGUUUGGUGGAGAGAGCUUUGAGUUGGUUUUAGCCGAUAUAAUGGUUACUUUUAUUUCUAAACUUUUGGUUAAUUCUAUAUAAACUUUAUAACUAUUAUCUAACGUUAAACGUGUUUCUUUGUAGGUUUUCAGUCAAGAAUUAAAUUGAACGGACCUGGAAAUGUCUACUAUUCAUGUUGUUACAGUUUCAGUCUCUAGCCGCUCUCUAUGUAGCAUUCUAACAUAAUUCUCCACUUUUUGUUGCUGACUGAUGUAUCUCUAUUAUAAGGUCCUGUAAAAAUUUGUAGAAUAAGGCUUAAAAUUUGGUUUGAGAAUAUAACAUAAUUUCUUAAUGAUUGUAUACUAACAGACUUAUUGUUCUGAUUCGAUCAACAUAACUUCUUUUAAGAAGCUCGAGACCAACAAACACAACCGUUUGUGAAGAAUAGAUCAAAUAGUCAUCCUUCCAUUAUACACUUGAGGUUUGGUUUUGUUGUGGGUUUCUUCUUACAUUCUUUGUGUUAUAUAUAUCUCAAAUUCAGA
This 1139-nucleotide long non-coding RNA is filed under the name Brassica napus (rape). RNAcentral's name for it is "long non-coding RNA (BNAP_LNC018597)". Lineage: Eukaryota; Viridiplantae; Streptophyta; Magnoliopsida; Brassicales; Brassicaceae. The record is from RNAcentral.